UACAGAGGUCCCAAGCGUUGUUCGGAUUCAUUGGGCGUAAAGGGUGCGUAGGCGGCGCGGUAAGUCGGGUGUGAAAUCUCGGGGCUUAACUCCGAAACUGCAUUCGAUACUGCCGUGCUUGAGGACUGGAGAGGAGACUGGAAUUUACGGUGUAGCGGUGAAAUGCGUAGAUAUCAUAAGGAAGACCAGUGGCGAAGGCGGGUCUCUGGACAGUUCCUGACGCUGAGGCACGAAGGCCAGGGGAGCAAACGGG
RNAcentral lists this ribosomal RNA (253 nucleotides) under uncultured bacterium. RNAcentral describes it as "partial 16S ribosomal RNA". It matches the Rfam family "Bacterial small subunit ribosomal RNA", at positions 524 to 776 of the family's 1533-position model. The record is from RNAcentral.